Unclassified non-coding RNA from Ursus americanus (American black bear), 152 nucleotides. NCBI's taxonomy places the organism in Eukaryota, Metazoa, Chordata, Mammalia, Carnivora, Ursidae. The record is from Ensembl.
AAGAAUUUGCCCCUGUAACAGGUUCCCCAGUGUCCAACCAGAAGUACAAUCGGUGCUGAGGCUGUAGACAUUCGGGGCUGCCUUCUGCUGCCGUCCGUCGCUGCUCUCUGUUUUGCCAGAAACAGGAUUUUCUUGGUCUCCGGUUGAUCCGC